Molecule: long non-coding RNA, 1422 nt
Filed under: Gallus gallus (chicken)
Lineage: Eukaryota; Metazoa; Chordata; Aves; Galliformes; Phasianidae
Description: long non-coding RNA NONGGAT002162
Source: RNAcentral
GGGGAGGGAAAGGAAGUAGCGUGCGCGCGUCACGUGAGCGCGAGCUGUCUGCCGCCAUCUUAUGCUAGUGAGGCGGGGGCGAGGCCGGGCCGUGCGAGAGGAGACCCUGUGCUGCAGGCGAUCCUGGGACCAUCCAUUACGUGUUUUUCUUACACAGAGGAUAACCUCGCACCGAGUUCCUGUGUUACUAGCUUUCUUGGCAUGACCAACAGCUGUGUCAUGCAAUAGCCAUUCGUGAUGAGUUUCUGCUCCACUGUGGGAAUGCUGCAUUUGCUCAGAGUGAUGAGGCAAAAUCCCGCUGCCUUGAAGAACACAGGAAUCCUGGCACUCAGGAGAAUGGAUGUCUGCAGAGAGGACCUUGCAGUCUAGCCCGGGUGCUUGUCAUUUGGCACAGAUGACAGUUAGAUUGGCUGUGGUUGAAAAUAAAGAGACAGUGGUAAGAAAGCGGUAAAUGGAAGUACUGAGUGGUGGCUUUUGUGUUUUACCUGGCUGUACGGACAACACACGCUUCCCCAGCAGAAUAAACACAAGGCUCAGGAGACACCAGAGCACUGUGCAGUGAACAGCCCAGCACAGCUAAUUGCUGUAGCCUGUGAAGAAAAUGGUGUUUCUCAUCUGACCACUCAAUUGAUAAUAUAAAAACUCAAUGAAACCUUAGAAAAAUGGAUUGAUUUAAAGCACAAAGCCAAUUGUUCCCAAUCACUAACAUUGCUUAGAAGAAAAACGUUUGCUGCCUUUGAGGAACCUUCACAGAGAUUAGCAGAUCCAUCAUAUUAUAGCAAACAGACAUUUACCACUGCAGAAACCUCAACAUAUUUCAGGCACUCAUCCCGCUGAACCAGGAAGUAAGAAUGUCUCCAGCUUUGAUUUGUUCCCUUUGUGACCUCUAAUCUCUAUUUACUAGUCUGUCCCAUCCAAUUAGGGAUAAUAAAACACCAUCUCUUUGCAUGUCCUUGGACUGAAAUGGAUCCUCCCUUCCUCUUGCCAGUCCAUAAAACGGCACAGUGAGCAGAAAUAGCAUGGACACAAAAAUACUCCCUGUGUGCUGAUUUCAUGGGGGCCUGCAGAGAGGUCCAGGGAGCCAGCUUGCACAUUGGCUUAGCUGAUGUUUCUCAUAGUUUCUAAUGCACUCACCCACUUCCCCUGGACAUACAGCCACCCAACCUUGGACCAUCUGCGAUGUUAAAAGCUUGGGGGGAGCCUGCUCAUUCUUCUAGUAGUUACCCAGCACAUUUCAGCUCACCAGAGUCCUGCAGUCCCUCCUCCUCGUUGCUGGUCACAGCCCUGGGAGCCUUUGUUGCCUCUUGGGUCUGGAAAGAUAAAGCUCCAGCUGACUGUCCUGUCAUCCCUGUGUGAAGCUGUCCUCUCAAGAGCUUUGCAAUGUUUUUCUCUUGCCAUCUUUUGUUUUCCAGGCCAGCUUCC